This 465-nucleotide ribosomal RNA is filed under the name uncultured bacterium. RNAcentral's name for it is "partial 16S ribosomal RNA". It matches the Rfam family "Bacterial small subunit ribosomal RNA", at positions 338 to 795 of the family's 1533-position model. The record is from RNAcentral.
CCUACGGGUGGCAGCAGUGGGGAAUAUUGCGCAAUGGGCGAAAGCCUGACGCAGCGACGCCGCGUGAGGGAUGAAGGUCUUCGGAUCGUAAACCUCUGUCAGCAGGGCAGAACGGUCACUGUGCUAAUCAGCAGUGAAUUGACGGUACCUGCAAAGGAAGCACCGGCUAACUCCGUGCCAGCAGCCGAGGUAAUACGGAGGGUGCGAGCGUUAAUCGGAAUUACUGGGCGUAAAGCGCUCGUAGGCGGUAUGUCAAGUCAAGGGUGAAAUCCCCGCGCUCACCGUGGGAACUGCCUUUGAAACUGGCAAACUGGAGUGUGUGAGAGGAUAGUGGAAUUCCAGGUGUAGGAGUGAAAGCCGUAGAUAUCUGGAGGAACAUCAGUGGCGAAGGCGACUAUCUGGCACAUAACUGACGCUGAGGAGCGAAAGCGUGGGUAGCAAACAGGAUUAGAUACCCUAGUAGUC